AUACGUAGGGGGCGAGCGUUGUCCGGAAUGAUUGGGCGUAAAGGGCGCGUAGGCGGCCCUGUAAGUCUGGAGUGAAAGUCCUGUUUUUAAGAUGGGAAUUGCUUUGGAUACUGUCGGGCUUGAGUGCAGGAGAGGUAAGUGGAAUUCCCAGUGUAGCGGUGAAAUGCGUAGAGAUUGGGAGGAACACCAGUGGCGAAGGCGACUUACUGGACUGUAACUGACGCUGAGGCGCGAAAGUGUGGGGAGCAAACAGGAUUAGAUACCCUGGUAGUCCACACUGUAAACGAUGAAUGCUAGGUGUAGGGGGUAUCGACCCCUUCUGUGCCGCAGUCAACACAAUAAGCAUUCCGCCUGGGGAGUACGGCCGCAAGGUUGAAACUCAAAUGAAUUGACGGG
This 396-nucleotide ribosomal RNA is filed under the name uncultured bacterium. RNAcentral describes it as "partial 16S ribosomal RNA". It matches the Rfam family "Bacterial small subunit ribosomal RNA", at positions 523 to 917 of the family's 1533-position model. The record is from RNAcentral.